GGGGGAACCCUGAUCCAGCAAUGCCGCGUGAGUGAAGAAGGCCUUCGGGUUGUAAAGCUCUUUCAUCAAUGAUGAUAAUGACAUUAGUUGAAGAAGAAGCCCCGGCUAACUUCGUGCCAGCAGCCGCGGUAAUACGAAGGGGGCUAGCGUUGUUCGGAAUCACUGGGCGUAAAGCGUAUGUAGGCGGAUCAAAAAGUUAGAUGUGAAAUCCCUGGGCUCAACCCAGGAACUGCAUUUAAAACUAGUGAUCUAGAAUUUGGUAGGGGUUAGUAGAAUUUCCAGUGUAGAGGUGAAAUUCGUAGAUAUUGGAAAGAAUACCAGUGGCGAAGGCGACUAACUGGGCCAUUUUUGACGCUGAGAUACGAAAGCGUGGGUAGCAAACAGGAUUAGAUACCCUGGUAGUCCACGCAGUAAACGAUGAGUGCUAGUCGCUGGGACAAUAGUUUCAGUGUCGAAGCUAACGCAUUAAGCACUCCGCCUGGGAAGUACGGUCGCAAGAUUAAAACUCAAAUAAAUUGACGGGGGCCCGCACAAGCGGUGGAGCAUGUGUUUAAUUCGAAGCACGCGAAGACCUUACCAGACCUUGACAUGGUAUGUUUGAAUUACAGAAUCGUAAUUCUUCAGUUCGCUGGCACACACACAGUGCUGCAUGGCUGUCGUCAGCUCGUGUC
This 671-nucleotide ribosomal RNA is filed under the name uncultured Alphaproteobacteria bacterium. Its description in RNAcentral is "bacterial SSU rRNA". It matches the Rfam family "Bacterial small subunit ribosomal RNA", at positions 374 to 1066 of the family's 1533-position model. The record is from RNAcentral. Lineage: Bacteria; Pseudomonadati; Pseudomonadota; Alphaproteobacteria.